This 462-nucleotide ribosomal RNA is filed under the name uncultured bacterium. Its description in RNAcentral is "partial 16S ribosomal RNA". It matches the Rfam family "Bacterial small subunit ribosomal RNA", at positions 28 to 507 of the family's 1533-position model. The record is from RNAcentral.
GACGAACGCUGGCGGCGUGCUUAACACAUGCAAGUCGAGCGGAAAGGCCCUUCGGGGUACUCGAGCAGCGAACGGGUGAGUAACACGUGAGUAACCUGCCCCAGACUUUGGGAUAACCCUCGGAAACGGGGGCUAAUACCGGAUACGACACAGCUUCGCAUGGGGUCUGUGUGGAAAGUUUUUCGGUUUGGGAUGGGCUCGCGGCCUAUCAGCUUGUUGGUGGGGUGAUGGCCUACCAAGGCGACGACGGGUAGCCGGCCUGAGAGGGCGACCGGCCACACUGGGACUGAGACACGGCCCAGACUCCUACGGGAGGCAGCAGUGGGGAAUAUUGCACAAUGGGCGGAAGCCUGAUGCAGCGACGCCGCGUGAGGGAUGACGGCCUUCGGGUUGUAAACCUCUUUCAGCAGGGACGAAGCGUAAGUGACGGUACCUGCAGAAGAAGCGCCGGCCAACUACGUG